CCUACGGGAGGCAGCAGUGAGGAAUAUUGGUCAAUGGCCGGAAGGCUGAACCAGCCAAGCCGCGUGAAGGACGAAGGUGCCAAGCAUUGUAAACUUCUUUUGUCAAGGGACAAAAUCAGGCUCGAGAGCCUGACCGAGGGUACUUGAAGAAAAAGCAUCGGCUAACUACGUGCCAGCAGCCGCGGUAAUACGUAGGUGGCAAGCGUUGUCCGGAAUUACUGGGUGUAAAGGGAGCGUAGGCGGGACAGCAAGUCCAGUGUGAAAUCUAUCGGCUCAACCGAUAGCUGCGCUGGAAACUGUGGUUCUUGAGUGAAGUAGAGGCAGGCGGAAUUCCUAGUGUAGCGGUGAAAUGCGUAGAUAUUAGGAGGAACACCAGUGGCGAAGGCGGCCUGCUGGACUUUUACUGACGCUGAGGCUCGAAAGUGUGGGUAGCAAACAGGAUUAGAUACCCUGGUAGUC
This 459-nucleotide ribosomal RNA is filed under the name uncultured bacterium. RNAcentral describes it as "partial 16S ribosomal RNA". It matches the Rfam family "Bacterial small subunit ribosomal RNA", at positions 338 to 795 of the family's 1533-position model. The record is from RNAcentral.